RNAcentral lists this small nucleolar RNA (80 nucleotides) under Blastobotrys adeninivorans. The record is from RNAcentral. Lineage: Eukaryota; Fungi; Ascomycota; Dipodascomycetes; Dipodascales; Trichomonascaceae.
CAACGUGAUGAACAUGAUGUCGCCCCAAUCGGAAAUUUAUUGACGAUUCGACUUUCAGCCAAACACACACAAUUCUGAGA